AUGCAUGAUUGAUGAAGAGAUAUGGAAAAAUCUUUUUUCACGUAUUUUUAUCUUCUUUUAGUGGUACGCCAGAUGAGGUUCUAGGGAAAAUAAAUCAUGACCUUUUUUCUCCUAAAUGUCUUGGCCAAUUCACGUGCCAGCAGUCGCGGUAAGACGUGUAAGACUUGUGUUAAUCAUCUUUUCUUGGUUUAAAGGGUACCUAGACGGUGGAUUGACUUUUCUGCCUAGGCGGAAAAGGGUUAUAUCCACUAGAGUUUUAUGGGUAAGGAUAUAUUGAAUUGAUAGAGGAGAGAUAAAAUGUAUUGAUACUAUCAGGAACAGACAAGGGCGAAGGCAAUCCUUUAUGUAUAAACUGACGUUGAGGGACGAAGGCGCGGGGAGCGAUUAGGAUUAGAUACCCUGUUAGUCCGCGCAGAUAAUCAUGAGUGCCAUAGAUCUGAAUUUAUCACGGUUUAUAAAUGAAAGUGCAAGCACUCCACCUCAAGAGUAAUGUGGCAACGCUGGAACUGAAAUCAUUAGACCGUCUCUGAGAUAAGUAGUGAAGCAUGUUGUUUAAUUUGAUAAUCCGCAAAAAAUCUUACCGCUAGGGUUUGUAUGUUUAGUGUUAGCGUUAGCGUUAGCGUUGGCACUUUUUACAGGUGCUGCAUGGCUGUCUUCAGUUGAUGUUGUGAGAUACAGGUUAACUCCGUAAAAUGAACGAAAACCCCCGCUUUAUUUAAUUAGAUAAGGCGAAACCCCAAUAUAAUGGACAAGGUAAUAGGGAGCAAGACAAGUAUUAUGGCCCUCAAUAUUCUU
This 795-nucleotide ribosomal RNA is filed under the name Chrysothrix sp. Its description in RNAcentral is "SSU rRNA". It matches the Rfam family "Bacterial small subunit ribosomal RNA", at positions 397 to 1211 of the family's 1533-position model. Lineage: Eukaryota; Fungi; Ascomycota; Arthoniomycetes; Arthoniales; Chrysotrichaceae. The record is from RNAcentral.